GGAAGUGUGUCACUGUGGAGGCGGGCUCUGGGGCCUCAUGUAUGCUCCAGCCACACCCAGUGAGACAGACCACUUCCUGUUGUCUGCAAGUCAAGAUGUAGGAUGCUCAGCUCCUUCUCCAGCACCACACCUGGCCGCACAACACCAUGGAGCACCAUGAUGAUAUUGGACUAACCCUCUGAAAAUUUUCCUCCUCUGAGACUUCAAUCCCUUAAUCUUAAGGGUGAUGAUGACUGAAGAUCCAUUCUCCACAACUUCUCAACUGCUGAGCCAGGAUGCAGCCCCUACCUCUCCAGGGACUAGAGUCUGCACCUGUGUGACCUAAGGGUGCAUGAGAAGGUCCAGCCUUGGAAACUGAAAAACUGUCAUGUGAUGGGAACCAACAGUGGUCCCGAAUAUUCCCACUAUCACGUUUUCAUCCCAGAUGCCUCUAACAGACAUAUGCUUCAUCAGAGUUUCCUGCCCAUCGAAAGCCAGGAAAGCUCCACCAACUAUAUAGUGUUCCCUAAGCAUCAUAUGGCUAGGCCCCAUCACUCUCUCUUUUAUAUCUCUAUGCCUUAAAUAAAGCAGGUGCUCACGGGUCUCUA
This is a non-coding RNA of Peromyscus maniculatus bairdii (prairie deer mouse), 587 nucleotides long. The record is from RefSeq and is a predicted model, not a curated record. NCBI's taxonomy places the organism in Eukaryota, Metazoa, Chordata, Mammalia, Rodentia, Cricetidae.